This 492-nucleotide ribosomal RNA is filed under the name uncultured bacterium. RNAcentral's name for it is "partial 16S ribosomal RNA". It matches the Rfam family "Bacterial small subunit ribosomal RNA", at positions 29 to 507 of the family's 1533-position model. The record is from RNAcentral.
AGUGAACGCUGGCGGUAGGCCUAACACAUGCAAGUCGAACGGCAGCGCAGUAAGAGCUUGCUCUUACGGGUGGCGAGUGGCGGACGGGUGAGGAAUACAUCGGAAUCUACUUUUUCGUGGGGGAUAACGUAGGGAAACUUACGCUAAUACCGCAUACGACCUACGGGUGAAAGCAUGGGAUCUUCGGACCUUGCGCGAUUGAAUGAGCCGAUGUCGGAUUAGCUAGUUGGCGGGGUAAAGGCUCACCAAGGCGACGAUCCGUAGCUGGUCUGAGAGGAUGAUCAGCCACACUGGAACUGAGACACGGUCCAGACUCCUACGGGAGGCAGCAGUGGGGAAUAUUGGACAAUGGGCGCAAGCCUGAUCCAGCCAUACCGCGUGGGUGAAGAAGGCCUUCGGGUUGUAAAGCCCUUUUGUUGGGAAAGAAAAGCAGCAGGUUAAUACCCCGCUGUUCUGACGGUACCCAAAGAAUAAGCACCGGCUAACUUCGUG